UUGAGAGUUUGAUCCUGGCUCAGAACGAACGCUGGCGGCAGGCCUAACACAUGCAAGUCGAGCGCACCUUCGGGUGAGCGGCGGACGGGUUAGUAACGCGUGGGAACAUACCCUUUACUAAGGAAUAGCCACUGGAAACGGUGAGUAAUACCUUAUACGCCCUUCGGGGGAAAGAUUUAUCGGUAAAGGAUUGGCCCGCGUUAGAUUAGAUAGUUGGUGGGGUAACGGCCUACCAAGUCUACGAUCUAUAGCUGGUUUUAGAGGAUGAUCAGCAACACUGGGACUGAGACACGGCCCAGACUCCUACGGGAGGCAGCAGUGGGGAAUCUUAGACAAUGGGCGCAAGCCUGAUCUAGCCAUGCCGCGUGAGUGAUGAAGGCCUUAGGGUCGUAAAGCUCUUUCGCCUGUGAUGAUAAUGACAGUAGCAGGUAAAGAAACCCCGGCUAACUCCGUGCCAGCAGCCGCGGUAAUACGGAGGGGGUUAGCGUUGUUCGGAAUUACUGGGCGUAAAGCGCGCGUAGGCGGAUUAGAAAGUAUGGGGUGAAAUCCCAGGGCUCAACCCUGGAACUGCCUCAUAAACUACUAGUCUAGAGUUCGAGAGAGGUGAGUAGAAUUCCGAGUGUAGAGGUGAAAUUCGUAGAUAUUCGGAGGAAUACCAGUGGCGAAGGCGGCUCACUGGCUCGAUACUGACGCUGAGGUGCGAAAGUGUGGGGAGCAAACAGGA
This 724-nucleotide ribosomal RNA is filed under the name Chaetoceros neogracilis. RNAcentral's name for it is "partial Bacterial small subunit ribosomal RNA". It matches the Rfam family "Bacterial small subunit ribosomal RNA", at positions 1 to 777 of the family's 1533-position model. The record is from RNAcentral. Lineage: Eukaryota; Bacillariophyta; Thalassiosirophyceae; Chaetocerotales; Chaetocerotaceae.